Molecule: ribosomal RNA, 253 nt
Filed under: uncultured bacterium
Lineage: Bacteria
Description: partial 16S ribosomal RNA
Rfam family: Bacterial small subunit ribosomal RNA
Source: RNAcentral
UACGUAGGGUGCGAGCGUUGUCCGGAAUUACUGGGCGUAAAGCGUGCGCAGGCGGUUUUGUAAGCCAGAUGUGAAAUCCCCGGGCUUAACCUGGGAAUGGCAUUUGGGACUGCAAGGCUGGAGUUUGGCAGAGGAGACUGGAAUUCCUGGUGUAGCAGUGAAAUGCGUAGAUAUCAGGAGGAACACCGAUGGCGAAGGCAGGUCUCUGGGCUGAAACUGACGCUCAUGCACGAAAGCGUGGGGAGCAAACAGG